UUUCCGUAGGUGAACCUGCGGAAGGAUCAUUAUUGUAUAACCGAGGGGCGAAGGCUGUCGCUGACCCGAAAGGUCGUGCACGCCCGAGUGCCCUCACACACAUCCAUCUCACCCCUAUGUGCACCACCGCGCGGGUCCCCCUUUGGCUUGUUCGGAGGGGGGCUUACGUUUUCACACAAACUUUGUAUGCAGUGUAGAAUGUAUUUUUUGUUUUUGCGAUCACGCAAUCAAUACAACUUUCAACAACGGAUCUCUUGGCUCUC
This 263-nucleotide unclassified non-coding RNA is filed under the name plant metagenome. RNAcentral describes it as "partial contains small subunit ribosomal RNA, internal transcribed spacer 1, and 5.8S ribosomal RNA". The record is from RNAcentral.